RNAcentral lists this long non-coding RNA (7442 nucleotides) under Lactuca sativa (garden lettuce). RNAcentral describes it as "long non-coding RNA (LSAT_LNC002131)". Lineage: Eukaryota; Viridiplantae; Streptophyta; Magnoliopsida; Asterales; Asteraceae. The record is from RNAcentral.
AUACACCUCUCGCUUCGAGGUUCGAGCUUAUCAUGAGUCUCGCGUCUCACGAAAGCCUCGCAACCCCAAAUCUUGAUGUGGUCUAGUUUAGGUACUUUACCAGUCCACAUCUCGUGAGGAGUUUUGGCAACUUUCUUUGUAGGGACUAGAUUAAGAAUAUGGGCGGCAGUCUCUAAGGCAUACCCCCAGAAUGAGAUUGGUAGCGUAGCUCGACUCAUCAUGGAACGAACCAUAUCUAACAAGGUUCGAUUACGCCUCUCAGCCACACCAUUCAACUGUGGUGUCCUGGGAGGUGUCAAUUGUGAGACUAUCCCACAUUCCCUUAGAUAGUCGAGGAACUCUGAACUAAGAUACUCACCACCACGAUCGGAUCGAAGCAUCUUAAUGUUCCUGCCCAAUUGAUUCUCGACUUCCUGUUUAAAUUCCUUAAACCUCUCGAAAGUCUCUGACUUAUGCUUGAUCAAGUAGACAUAUCCAUAUCUACUAUAAUCAUCAGUAAAAGUCAAAUAAUAACGAUUAGCAUCCCUUGUGGCAUGUUUGAAUGGUCCACACACAUCCGUGUGUAUAAGGUCCAACAAACCUUCACCCCUCUCACACGAACCUGUGAAGGGUGACUUUGUCAUUUUUCCAAGUAAGCAUGAUUCGCAACUAUCAUCUGACUUUAGGUCAAACGACUCCAAGACUCCAUCCUUUUGGAGUUGGCCUAUGCGUUUCUUGCUUAUAUGUCCAAGACGACAAUGCCAUAAAGAUGCUUUAUCCAAGUUAUUAUUAGUAGAAUCAAUACACAAAACAUUAUUUCCCAAGUUAUCUACAACAGAUACAGCUUCAUACACACCAUCACAAGGUAAUGCUUUAAAAUAAAAGACAUUAUUAUAGAAAACAUCUAUAGAACCAACUUCAUUAUUAAAUGAAAAGGUAAACCCUUGUUUGUACAAAGCAUGAAAGGAAAUAAUAUUUCUUGCCAUUCCUGGCGAAUAACAACACUUAUUCAAAUCUAAACUAAACCCACUACUUAGCGAUAAAGUAUAAACUCCAAUCUUGGUAACAGGUAUAGCUUUCCUAUUCCCCAUGAUCAAGUUUAUCCUUCCUUGCUCCACAUCCUCACUUCUUCUUAGUCCCUGCAAGUCACAACAAAUGUGAAUACCACACCCGGUAUCAAGGACCCAAGAAUUAGAAUGGGGUGAGUUAUUAGAAAUGAUAGUGUAAAUACCUGCAUGGUUGGGUUUAACUUUCCCAUCCUUCACAUCUUGCUGGUAUUUUGGGCAGUUCCGCUUCCAAUGAGCUUUUUCAUGGCAAUAGAAGCAUUCAGCCUCUUUUGGGUCAGAAGAAGGAGUAACGAAACCUUUCUUGGUUCCACUUGAAGAAGAGCCAUCAAGGGUCCGAGCCUUGGUACCCUUAGAAGAGCUCUUUCUCUUCCUCCCUCGACUUUUCCCGAUUGCCAAAACCGGAGUAGAGUUUUGAGUAGGAGUGAUAGCAACCGACUUCCCCUUAAGACCUGUUUCUGCGGUCUUGAGAAGUCCCUGAAGUUUGCUGAGGGUGACUUCUUCCUUGUUCAUGUGAUAUGUCAUGCGGAAUUGAUCAUAGCACGAUGGUAAGGAAUGCAAAAUAAUAUCUAUUGCAAGAUCCUCCGGGAAGUUCACAUUAAGCUUCAGCAAACGAUCCACAUACCUUUGCAUUUUCUGCAUGUGGCUCGUGACGGAUUCCCCGUCCUUCAUCAUGGUUGUUAUCAUGGAGCAGAUGAUUUCAUACCUCUCUUGUCUUGCACUUUGAUGGUAUCUUUCCAUCAAAUCUUGGUGCAUGUCAUAAGGGUAGAAAUCCUCAUAAGACUUUUGGAGUUCCGCUGUCAUCGUGGCCAUCAUGAUGCAAGCCACUUUCGUAGCAUCCCUUUCAUGUGCCCGAAAUUCAGCGAUCUCCUGAGGAGUUGCAGUGGACUCAUCAAUCUCCUUAAGCUCCUUGUCAAGGACAUAUUCUUUGUCCUCGUAGCGGGUAAUCAUCCUGAUGUUUCUGAUCCACUCAUUGAAGUUGGAUCCAUCAAAGGUGACUUUCCCACACAAGUUCAUAAGGGUAAAGGAGCCAUUAGGAUUAGAGCCAGAAGCAUUGUUGAAAGACAUCUGAAGGAAAGAGGACAAGAUUAGUUUAGAUAUAAGAGAGUCCUUAAUAAAACACCCAAAUGUAAUAUUAAGGCUAGGAUCCAAUCACAAUAUAAUAUAACUUAGAAGAGGUAUGCCGUAAUCUAAGCUAUAUCAUAUUUGAAAGGUAGGUGAAUGACGAUUCACCAAUUUCCACCACGAAAACCGCAAUAUUUUAGUAUUAGGUUUUUGAAUGGUUCUUAGAAAUUCCUAGAUUCUUUGAGAUUCAAUGAACUUUUCAAAGGCAUGUUUCAAUCUCGAGUGUGCCCUCCAAGUUUUGUGACUGGGAUACCGAGGAUCACAAAACGAGGUGUGAAGUAACCAUGCAAAUCACUUGGUACCCUUAAAGUUUAUCACUCAAUCGAUGUGCCGGUUAACCACACACGCUCCAUCGAUACUAUAAUAAACCCUAAGUCACCCUUUACCUACCUUGUUAAGUCCAAGUUAGUGUGCCGGUUAACCACACACGCUCCACCAACGACUUAAUCAAAGUGUAAAGUGUAAUUUCAUGGAAUAGCACCUUAUUCACAUUUUUCCUAAAGUAACUAAGAUUGGGAAUUUAAUAAAACAUUUAGUUACUUUAUAAUAUUCAUCAUACUUUGAAUGAGAAUUAAUAAGUCCUUGUCUUACCCGUUCGGCUAACGACCCUCCACCGAUCAAGCAAGCGGUGGGUGAGAGUGGACACCCAUUAAGUCACCAUUUUAUAGGCAACAACCUUAUACCCACCUUAUAGACCGGCUUCGUGAAUGAGGCGUACUAGCGGUAAGACGACUUUGUUCUUAUACAUAUAUAUAUAAUUAUUAAAUCAUAAUAAUAUAAGUAUAAGGGUUGAAUUUUAACUUUUAAAAUUCUAGGGGUUGGAACUAAAGUUUUAACUUAACUUUACUUGUUCCAAAACUUGAGGGCAAGUUUUGUAAACUUUCAAAACUUUUCAUUUCUUGUAACUUAUGAGUUUAAUAGAGUAAUAAAAUGAGGACUUUUCAUUUUUCCUAACUCUUGUGUUCUUUUAAUGGUUUUUAAUCCAAGAGACUUUUGGUUUUCCAUAACUUGAGGACAAGUUAUGGACUCCAUUAAAACACAUUAUGAUCAUGAAUUAAUCUACCACAUAGGUUACAAAUAAUUCCUAUGAUCAUCUAAACAUCAUAAGAACAAGAAUAUGAAUAUGAACACUUUCAAGAAUCAAAAUCACAUUUAAUCUUUGUAAUUUUGAUAACUAGUUGUUGUAAAUGAGUUAGAAAAGACAUUACACCUUCUAAAAUAAGUUUUCAAGUACCAAAACAUUUUAGGGUAAUGAUUCUAAUCCAUUUCCAGCAACUCAAGUCGAAAUUCUGCACUCUGUCGACCCUACUCGCCGAGUGCAUAAACCUACUCGCCGAGUAGGUUGAAGAUACACAUGAACUCGACGAGUCCUCCCCAUGGACUCGCCGAGUCCAUCAGUCAGACAGCAGAAUUUUCGACUUUCUUCAACUUUUAAGCACAAAUAACAAACAAACAAGCCUAGGCUCUGAUACCACUGAUGGGUUUUGAGCAUUCUAACACUUCCUAAGUGUACAUGCAACCCUAAUAACCUUGGAUCUAUGUUUGUCUAAUUAUCAUGCAAAGUUGAAUUCCAAGGUUAUAUUCCUAUCUAGCAUACAUGGGGAACAAUUUUAACUUGAAUCAUAGAUAGAAUAACUUACCUUGUUGUUGCUUGUGUUCCUUGAAACCUUGUGAGCCUAGCACCCCAAGUGUGAUGCCUCAAAUGCUUCACACAACACCAAAUGCUCUUGGAAAGACUCUUGAGAUAACACACACUUCUCAAAAUCGGCCAAGCCCUCUAGUUUCUUAGUGUUCAACUUGUGUAGCCAAUUUUGUGGAGAAUGGGACUCUUAUAUAGUGUUGGCACAUCUAGGGUUACACCAUGUAAACCCUAAUGUGUCAUGACUCUUCAUUUCCAUGACCCAUGGGUUUGUAACUCCCAUGGAGCAUCCAUGGAGCAUCCUAUGGGUAGAACCCAACUUGAUAAUCCAUGGAGCCUCUUAGCCCACUAUACAAGAUAUGGAUGAUUUACAUAAUCAACCCAUAUAUUUAAUUAGUUAUCCUUUGAUCACUUAAUUAAUUCCAAAUUAAUUCUUUGAUCAACUAAUCAAAUAAUAUUAUUAAUAUAUUAGAACUUAUAAUAUAUUAAUAAUCUCCAAGUGUUAUUUCUCUCAUUUAGUCUAUCCAAUUGCAUGGUGCCAUGCAACCCAAAUGGACCAUGCCGGGUCGGGUCAAGUACAAGCCCGAAAUAGUUAUGGACUUAGACACCUUAUCCAACAGUCUCCCACUUGGAUAAGUCUAAUAACUAUAUCUCUAGUACUUCAGGAACCGACCGGCAAUCGUAGCUCUUUCAAGGUCUCUCGGAACUGAGAAGAUGAUGGUACGCCAUUUAAGAUAAGUGAUCAUAUAAUCCUCCGUUCUAGAUAUCAGCCGGACAAAUACAUGGAACAUUGUCUUGCUUAUUGUCCAGCAUUUGUUUCCCGAUUUCCGAUUUGUUUGACAUAGAACUUAAUUGAACACAUCAACUUAGUUCUGACCGGGCCCGGUACAUGGGUCAAAACAAAAUCAUCGAGGGGCCCAGAUAUCAGCUUCUAAUCCAAGAAGGAACAGAUAAACUUCGACUCAUAUGUUUGUUCUACCACUCAUUGAAUUACACACAAAAGUACGUUUUAUAACAUCGAGUUACCAAUGCGGUUUCGUACAGUCAAUGCAUAACCAACUUGUAAGUAACAAAUCAUAUCUCUAGGUUUGAAGACUUAUAUGAUAUUACCGUCUCACGAUCACUCGAGAUAGAAUUCCAUGAAGUGAUUCCAGUGAGCGUGGGUUGAGUCCAAUGCUCAGAACUUAUGAGCACUCAUGAUUGUUGUAGCCUUGUCCAAGACCUCUACAACCAAACAUGACAGUCUUGAUUCAUAUCUACUUCCAACAUAUGACCGACUGUGGAGGUUUGAAUAAUAUGUUAUACCAAACAAAAUUAUUCUGGAAGUCAAAACAUGCAAAAGAAAUAUAGUAAACGAUCGACAAGAGAUAGCAACACUUUACUCAUAAAUAAAACACCUUUUAUUCAUCAUCAAAUGUCAAUUACACUUUACAAAUUUCUGGGUUAUCUAACUACUAAAACUUAUAUCAUCCUUCAGCCCUAUGCUCCGAGCAUGCUGGAGAUGCUUAACCCUACUCAGUCCCUUCGUGAGGGGAUCUGCUGGGUUCUCAUCCGAUGAUACCCUCUUUGCCACGAGGAGUCCUUCUUCGAUCCGAUGUCUAAUGAAAUGGUAUUUUCUGUCGAUGUGUCUGGAUCUCCCAUGAUCCCUUGGUUCCUUGGCUAAGGCAACAGCACUUUCACUAUCACAGAAAAUUUCCAUUGGCUCUUUAAUAGCUGGUACAACUCCAAGGUCUCCAAUGAAGUUCUUCAGCCAUAUCGCCUCCUUUGCUGCUUCACUAGCUGCAAUAUACUCUGAUUCACAAGUAGAAUCUGCCACUGUCUCUUGCUUGGAACUCUUCCAAGAAAUUGCUCCUCCGUUUAGGGUAAAGACCCAGCCCGACUGAGAGCGGAAAUUAUCCCUAUCAGUCUGGAAGCUAGCAUCACUAUACCCUACAACUCUCAAGUCAUCACUCCCACCGAGGGUAAGGACCCAGUCCUUAGUCCUCCGUAGGUACUUGAGGAUAUUCUUUACCGCAGUCCAGUGUGCCUUGCCAGGGUUCGCCUGAUACCUGCUAACCAUGCUCAAGGCAAAAGCUACAUCGGGUCGAGUACACGUCAUAGCAUACAUGAUCGAUCCUACAGCCGAAGCGUAAGGUGUUCGACUCAUUUCUGCUAUCUCAGCCUCAGUGCUAGGGCUUUGUGUCUUACUCAAUCUGGUGUUACUCUGGAUGGGUAACUCUCCUUUCUUGGAAUCCUGCAUGCUGAAUCUCUUCAGCACCUUAUCCAAGUAGGUACUCUGACUAAGUCCAAUUAGUCUUUUACUCCGAUCUCUCAAGAUUCUUAUCCCUAGAAUAUAGGCAGCUUCACCAAGGUCCUUCAUAGCGAAACACUUCCCAAGCCAGGACUUUACUUCCUGCAGGGUUGGAAUGUCGUUUCCUAUGAGUAGUAUGUCAUCCACAUACAAUACCAAAAAGCUAACUAUACUCCCACUAGCCUUGACAUACACACAAGAUUCAUCUUCACUCCUAGAAAAGCCAAAUUCCUUGACCUUUUCAUCAAAGCAAAGAUUCCAUCUGCGAGGUGCUUGCUUCAAUCCAUAAAUGGAUUUCUCAAGCUUACACACUCUAUUAGGGUACUCGUUGCUGACAAAACCCUCUGGCUGACUCAUGUAAACAUCUUCAGCCAACUUUCCAUUAAGGAAAGCGGUUUUGACAUCCAUCUGCCAUAUUUCAUAGUCAUGAAAUGCAGCUAUGGCUAACAGAACCCGAAUAGACUUAAUCUUGGCUACCGGAGAAAAGGUCUCAUCAUAAUCCACUCCAGGAAUUUGAGAGAAGCCCUUUGCAACCAGUCUAGCCUUAUAAGUGUGUACUUUACCAUCCAUGUCGGUCUUCUUCUUGAAGACCCAUUUGCACCCUACUGUCUUACGACCUGGUACAUUUUCAACCAAGUUCCAAACUUGAUUGUCAUACAUGGAUUGUAUCUCGCUAUCCAUAGCCUCUUUCCAUUUAGCAGACUCGGGGCCUGCCAUGGCUUCCUCGUAGCUGUUAGGGUCAUCUUGACUUACUAGUGUCUCAUCACUAAUAAGUGUCUCACCUUCUGCAGUAAUAUGGAAUCCAUAGUAAUGCUCAGGUGCACUCCUAACUCUCGUGGAACGUCUCAGAGGUACAGAUUUGUCAAUUGGCUCAACAGGAGUUUCCUCCUCAAGUUGAGGGCUAGAGUUUGAAGUUCCUUCACCACUUGACUCUUAAUGUUCUUCAAGGUCAAUUUGCCUCCCACUGUCUCCUUGGCUUAUAAAUUCUCUCUCUUGAAAGAUUCCUCUUCUUGCUACAAAGACCACAUUAUCAAUAGGUCUGUAAAAGAGGUACCCAAAGGAUCUUUGUGGGUAGCUGAUGAAAAUACACCUCUCGCUUCGGGGUUCUAGCUUAUCAUGAGACUCGCACCUCACAAAAGCCUCGCAACCCCAAAUCUUGAUGUGGUCUAUUUUAGGUACUUUACCAUUCCACAUCUCGUGAGGAGUUUUGGCAACUUUCUUUGUAGGGACUAGAUUAAGAAUAUGGGCGGCAGUCUCUAAGGCAUACCCCCAGAAUGAGAUUGGUAGCGAAGCUCGACUCAUCAUGGAACGAACCAUAUCCAACAAGGUUCGAUUACGCCUCUCA